RNA transcript from Mirounga angustirostris (Northern elephant seal), 13891 nucleotides. It is a transcript of the gene named rab GDP dissociation inhibitor beta-like, with no coding region annotated. The record is from RefSeq and is a predicted model, not a curated record. The transcript is spliced from 2 exons. Lineage: Eukaryota; Metazoa; Chordata; Mammalia; Carnivora; Phocidae.
UCGAUUUUUCCUAUUAUUUGUCUUUUUAAGUUUAAAAAAAAAUUCUGUUUAAUGUUAUAAAACAUUUCAUGUUUGUAAAAGUAUUUAAAUAUAGCAUUAUAUGCAGUGAAAAAUUAAAAAUCUCUUACUUCCUCUUUUGCUUUUCUAAAGUUUUAAAUUCUGAAAUGUUAGUAAGUGAAUUUAUAAUUUUCAUCACAGUAUGAAAAUACAGGACACUCCUGUGCUAGUUUAGGAAACAGUUGGCUGCAGUGACAGCAUACCCAACCAACAGGAGCUUAAAUCGUAAGGAUAUUUAUUGUUAACAAGAAUGCAGGAGGGUAGGUCCAGACUUUGUUCACCUGACUCAGUGGUGUUACCAGGAAUCCAGGGCUUUACUGUCCUUAACAUGUUGGUUUCUUAUGCUUUUGCUUAUCUUAGGUUUUUGCUUGCCGCCUCAUGGUUAAAGAGGGAUGAUUGCAGCCCCGGGCCUUAUUUUCCUCAUGCCAGUGUACUUGGCAAAAACUGUGAGGCGGGGACAAAAUGUCUUCCUGUAUGGCUCUUUUUUUUAUGUUGAAAGCACAGUCUUUUGUAGAAUUCUCUCAGCAGAUUUACAUUCCUCUUGUCUCAGUGGCCACAUACAUACCUAUCUAUGGCUACAAAGAAGUCUGGGAAGUUACUUACCUUGCAGAAGGGAUCAGGACAUCCAUGAUUGUCAUAUGUCAAUUAUGACUUAUCCCUUCCAGUUGUGCAUACAUUGUUGUCCCAAACAAAAUCAGAGUUCUGUAGGCAGUUAAUCGUACGUAUCAAGAUAUAAAAUUUCACAUCUCAUAGUUUUUGAAACUAGAAGUUCUUUAGCUAAAUAAAUGUAGAUUGUCUUCAAUUUUAUAAUUCUAAAGCUUCCUGGCUUUACCUGCUUCACUGUCUACUUUAUGUCCAUGAAAUUACAUGGCUGGAUCAUAAAACUAAGUGAAUAGGAGCCAAAAGUAUGCAGCUCCUCUUAGUUUAAUAUGGACAGUGGAACAAAUUGACAGGUUUCUCCUUUUGCUUCUCUGAACAUACUUUGAUCUGGUGAUGACCUAAGUCAUCAGUAUGUGACAUUUUGCACAGUAGACAUGGGGAUGCGGUUGGGCGGGCAGUGAUGCUGCUUCCAUGUGUGUGCAUGUGCAUAUAUGUUUAUAUACUUUUCACUGGUUGUUGGAACUGCAGUAUUACUUUUACUGGGUUUUGUUGGCCUUCUCAGGGACUUAAAUUUUGAUAUUUGAAUUUGGGUAGGAUCAUACUCUUAGGAAUUUCCAUUCACAAUUGUAAAAUAGAAAGUUUGUAUUUUGAUGCAAAAUAUUGAGUACUCCUUACUAAGAGAGCUCACCUUAUGUAUGACCAUACUAAGAAUAGCCAUGUUAGACACUGUAGCAUCUGUUGCCGCAUCACACCACCUCUGGUACCAAGUCAUUCAGCAAACACUUACUGAGCCCCAGCUGUGAAUAACCCACAGAGAAGACAGAGAAUUUGAUUACAUGUUUUCUCCAAGGAAUGUCUGUCUUCUUGGCUUGCAUUUCCCAAAGAGAAUUAAUGGGUGUUAAUUAAUAAAAGAAUGAGGUUGUCAAAUACACUUAGGAAAUGCUUAGUUAACCAAAGGUAAACAGGACUUUUCAGAGUCCUUAAUAUGCUAACAUAUAGGGGCGCCUGAGUGGCUCAGUCAGUUAAGCGUCUGCCUUCAGCUCAGGUCAUGGUCCCAGGGUGCUGGGAUCGAGUUCUGCAUGGGCUCCCUGCUCCACGGGAAGCCUGCCUCUCCCUCUCCCACUCCCCUUGCUUGUGUUCCCUCUCUCGCUGUGUCUGUCUCUCAAAUAAAGAAAUAAAAUCUUUAAAAAAAAAUAUGCUAACAUAUAUGCAGAUCUCCAGGGAGGUGACUGUUCUAGAAUGCAGCUCUUUCCAAACUCCUUCCCACUCUUCUUUCCCAUCUAGCUGUGAGAGACAUUCUUUAGAACAUGCUGUAGGAAGAAGCUAAGAGGACAAUCCUGAAAUUCAGGGUUAUUAUUAGUGCACUAUUAUUUUAGCAACAUUUGAUUCUUGCAGGGUUCUUUGAAUAUUUAACUGUCUUUUAUGCCAACUUUAAGGAAAUUAAGUAAAGAAAAAUUUCUUCAUCAUUUAAAAUGUUUCUUUUGGUAUUUAUUGCUUUCAAAAAGUUGACUUAUGCCUGGGCUCUUGGGAUACAGCUCUAUCACUAGCUGAGGACUACCUGUUUAAGCAUAUACCAGGGAAAAAGUUAGACUUUGUCCUAUGCUAAACAGUACUAUGAUAAGCUUUACAUCACUUAAAAUCCUACUGAAAUUAUACAACACUACAGGUUAACCCCUGGUUCAAAGAAGAAAUCAAAAGGGGAAUUUUAAACUAUGUAGAAAGGAAAGGAAAGGAGACUUUUAUACCAAAAUGCAGUAAAUCCUUUACUCAAAUAAAAAUUUAUAAUCUUAAAUUCCUUCUGUACUAAAGAAAAAGGACAAUGAAGGAACUUGGCACUUAGGAGAAAUUAGAAAAAGAACAAGAAAAAAGAAGCUGGGAAAUAAAAAGCAGAAAUUAAUGAAAUAAGCAAAAAAACCCCAAAAAACCAUAGAAGGAAUAAACAAACCAAAUGCUGAUUCUUUGAAAAGCAUCCAACUAACAAAAAAGAGGUAAUUCAUAAGCCUUGAUUCCCUUAUUAGGUUAAAAAAAUACUAGCAAAAAUAUACAAGAUAAGGAAUGAGAAAGGAGACAUAAACAAAGGUACUGGAUAUACUAAAAGAAUUUUGAGAAACUAGUGCAUGCCAACCUAUGACAAAGAAAAAAGCUAGAGUAAAUUGUUUUCCCAGCAAAAUUAUCCCAAGAUGUAGAAAACUUGAGUAAAUUGAUUUCCUUAAAAGAGACUAAGAAGUUAUUAAAGAUUGACGAGAAGCAGAGGCAUUCAUAGCUGAAUAUGAUCUUAUUUUUAAAAGCAGAUAAAUCCAGUUAUUUAAAUAAUCCAAACAUCCAUAAAGGUGGAAAUCUGUCAGAAUCCUUUAGAGAAGCCAGCAGUAUAUCAUUAAUGCAAAUUCUGUUAAAGACACAGUUCAAAAAUAGAAAACUAGCACUAAUUUCACUUGUGACAAUAGAUGAACAAUUCUGAUUAAGGUAUUAGUAAAUUAACUUCAGAAAUGAAGCUAUAAUAAACAAAGUAGGUUUUAUUCUAGGAAUGCAAAAAUGAUUCAGUAUUGGGGAAAUCUAUUUACAUCAUCCACAGACUAAAAAUGUUACAUGAAAAACAUGUUACUUUAUAACCAGUAGGUAUUGAAAAGGCAUUUGAUCCUUCUCUUCCCAUCUGACAUGGCAACCAGCCUCCUUCCUCUCCAGCUCUGGCUUCCUUUUUCCAUCUAGCCAGCCUGAGCGCUUCCCCUGUUCUUCAGGUUGGCCCUAUAGCCUCUGGUCCCUAGAGUCCCUGUGCUUUCUCCUUUCUUGGGGCUUAGGUCCUCACCCUACCCCGCUAUGAAUGAGGAGUAUGCAGUGCUCCUACUGGGCACAAGCCUGACUGAAUAUAUCCUGUCAAGUAUAAUAUCAGUGAAUGGAAAGAAAGUUCUUCACAUGGAUAGAAACUCAUACUAUGGAGGAGAAAGUUCAUCUAUAACACCUCUGGAAGAUUUAUACAAAAGAUUUUAAAUACCAGGAGCACCACUACCAUCAAUGGGGAGAGGAAGAGACUGGAAUGUUGGCUUAAUUCCCAAGUUCCUUAUGGUCAAUGGUCAACUGGUUAAGGUGCUGCUUUAUACAAAGGUCACUUGCUAUCUGAUUUUCAAAGGACUGAAGGGAGCUUUGUCUGUAAGGGAGGAAAAAUCUACAAGGUUCCUUCCAUUGAAGCAGAAGCCCUGGCAUCUAGCUUAAUGGGACUAUUUGAAAAAUGUCGCUUUAGAAAAUUCCUAGUGUGUGUUGCCAGCUUUGAUGAAAACGAUCCCUGAACUUUUGAGGGCAUUGAUCCUAAGAAGACUGCAAUUCGGGAGGUGUACAAGAAAUUUGACUUGGGACAAGAUGUCAUGGGUUUUGCUGGCUAUGCCCUGGCAUUUUUUAGAACAGAUGACUAUUUAGAUAAACCAUGUUGUGAAACCAUUAAUAGGAUUAAACUUUACAACAAGUCUCUGGCAAGAUAUGGCAAAAGCACAUACCUUUAUCUACUCUAUGGUCUUAGAGAACUUAGCCUGGGAUUUGCAGGGCUAAGUGCUAUUUAUGGUGGUACGUACAUGCUCAAUAAACCGAUUGAAGAAAUCAUUGUGCAGAAUGGAAGAGUGAUUGGUGUGAAAUCUGAAGGACAGGUUCCUUACUGUAAGCAGCUCAUUUGUGAUCCCAGCUAUGUAAAAGACCAGGUAGGAAAAGUGGGCCAGGUGAUCAGUUAUCUGCAUCCUCAGCCCACCCCAUCAAGAACACCAAUGAUGCCAACUCCUGCCAGAUCAUCAUUCCCCAGAACUAAGUCAGUCAGAAGUCAGAUAUCUAUGUCUGCCUGAGCUCCUCUGUACACAGUAUGGAAGCACAAGGGAAGUAUAUCGCCAUAGUACAACUGUGGAAGCCAAGGAACCAGAGAAAGAAAUCAGACCAGCUUUGCAGCUUUUGGAACUGACUGAACAGAAAUUUGUUAGCAUUAGUGACCACCUUGUACCAAAAGGCUUGGGAACAGAAAGCUAGAUCUUUAUUUCCUGCACAUGCAAUGCUACAACUCACUCUGUAAGAGGAUGACCGAAUCUGAGUUUGACUCUGAGGAAAUGAACAUAAGAAAAAUAACAUCUAUGGAGAAAACUAACAGCAGUACAUUUUAUUAUCUAAUUAGGACAAACUUAACUUUUGGCAAAUGAUGUAUACUGUAUAAAAUCAAUAUUAUUGAUCCCAGGGUCCUGGGAUGGAGUCCCACAUUGGGCUCCCUGCUCAGCAGGGAGUCUGCUCCUCCAUCUCCCUCUGCCCCUCCCCCGGCUUGUGCUCUCUCUUGCUUACACUCUGUGUCAAAUAAAUUAAAAAAUUUUUUUUUGAAAUCAGUUUUUAUAAGGCCUGCUUUUGUAAUCAAAACUGAGAUUGCCGAGCACUGUACCAGUAAAUAUUCCUUCCCUUUCUAACAUCAUGUAUUAACUUGUUUUCAUGGAGUGGCUAUUCAAAAUUGGCAGGUUACCAUAUUCUGUUCAGUUUAACCAAUACUGGCUUUUUUUCCCCCAGUGAAGGAUCAGUUUUAAAAAAACAUUGUGACACUGAUACAGAGCACUUGGUACAGUAUUUGUAUCUUUUAAUCAGUGUAGCCUUUGCAGUCCUGUGCUCCUGCUGUUCAAGAGCUGGAUCAGUACAAUUUUUCAUGCCACUGUCCUCUUGACAUUAAAGAAAUUAGGAAUUGAAUAUUCCACAAUUUGGGAAAGAAUCCCUACAUUUUCCCUACACCUUUACAUUUUGUGUCCUGUCAGGUAUUAUGAGUGUCCAUGUAACACAGCUAUAAGAUGGGGUUAUGUGGGCCUAAAAUUCUAACCCAACUCCAGACUAUGAGAGUCAUUUUGGAGGAAGCCUGUGUGCAAUGUUUUAACCUUAUAAAAUCGAUGAGAGCGAAGAGAAAGAAACCUAUCAUAAACCAAGUAAAUGUAGAAGCUUCUUUUGUUUUCUAGAUGUGGCUUCUUCAAUGGACCAAGCUAUAUUACGGUAUUUGACAAAGCCUCCACUUCAAUGAUGUCUGUCUCAAAAUGGCCCCAAAUGAUUUUUUUUUAAGGUUUUAUUUAUUUAUUUGACAGAGAGAGAGAGAGAGCACAAUCAGGUGGAGUAGCAGGCGGGUGGGGCAGGCCCCCCGCUGAGCAGGGAGCCCGAUGCGGGACUCGAAUUCAGGACCCUGGGAUCAUGACCUGAGCUGAAGGCAGUCACUUAACUAACUGAGCCACCCAGGCGCCCCUGCAAAUGAUUUCUGUACUGCAAAAUAAAGCCAAACUCUGGAAACAAAAAAAAAAAAGGAAAAGAAUAGGCAUUUGAUCAAGUUUAGGAGUUUCCUAAUAAAAAUUCUAGAUAUACAGGAUAAUAGAAAAAACUAAAUAAAAUAAGAAUUCUAAUUAGAAUAAAAAGGGGCAUCUGGAUGGCUUAGUCAUUUUGGUGUCUGGCUCUUGAUUUUGGCUCAGGUCAUGAUCUCAGAGUUGUGAGAUCGAGCCCCGAGUCUUGCUCCACGCUGGGCAUGGACCUGCUUAAGAUUCUCUCUCUCUCUCGGGACACCUGGGUGGCUCAGUUGGUUAAGCAUCUGCCUUCAGCUCAGGUCGUGGUCCCAGGGUCCUGGGAUCGAGUCCCACGUCGGGCUCCUUGCUCAGCAGGAGGCCUGCUUCUCCCUCUGCCUGCAGUUCCCCCCUGCUUGUGUUCUCUUUCUCUAAGAAAACCUUAAAAAAAAAAGAUUCUCUCUAUCUCUCCCCCUCUCCAGCGCCCCCCCCCAUGCUUGCACUCUCUCUAAAAAAAUAAAUAAAUAAAGAUAAAACAGAAUAAAAGCACAAAUACUAUACAGGUGUAAAAAUGUAUGAACUAAAUUUACAUAUAUCAGUAAGGAUAAGUCUCAAAAACAUCUCAAGCAAAUUACAGAUGGAUGUGUGUGGUACAAUACUAUUUACAUAAAGCAUGAAUUAAUGCAAAACAGUACUACAUAGUGCUUUUGAAUACAUUUAUAGCAAGAAUAUAAAAUCAGACACUUGAAAUGACAAAAAAUAGUUUCUGAGGAUGUAUGAAAGGAUUUUUUUUUUUUGCAUCACUGUGCAUAGAACAAAAACAAAGGAAGCGUAAUUUUAAAAUUACCCAUUGUGUAGCUAUUAAAAAGAAUAAAUGAGGAUUAUAUGAAUUGCAGGGAUUUCUAUAAGAUAUACUGCUGAGAAAAGAAUUACUAUUAAUAAUUUCAUUAUUUUAAAAAGUCUCACCAAUCCCUAUAAAUGUACACAUACAAGUAUGUGUUUCUAUAUGAUUAUAUGAACACGGGGAAAAAAGCAUGGAAGGCUGCAUACUAAAUCAUUACUGUGACUUAUCCUGGAGUGGGGUGGAGGAGAGGAGUAAAAGAGAAGAGGGAGCCAAAUUAAAAAGGGUGGGGCUAAUGAGACUACAAUUAAAAACUUUACACUGUGUCAUUUAUGUAUUUCUGUGAAAUAAUGUAUGUGUAAAAGGAAACUUCAAAAAAGAAUAUAUAAUACAUAAAAAUUUUUUUUGUGUAUGUGUAUAAAAUGAUUUUGUUAAAAAGGUGAUAAGACCCUGAUGUCAUUGAGCAUAUCCAUUCAUAUUAGUGACUCUUCUACUCUAAUCUCUCCAAAACAAGCUGAUUUUGAUUUUGAUGUUUGGCUUUCCACAUAGUGCGACUCCAAGGAGAAAACUCACUGGUCAGUACUAUACAAAUAACCUACCCUAUAGAUGUAAAAUAUCAUUGUAAACAAAUAGGAUGAUAGUCUAAUAGAUUUUUCUUUUUAAGGAAGUGAGGAAGAGAGAAAGCCAACCUAUCAGAUCCUCCUGGAAUGGGGGCUUUAGGAACCCAAUGCUAUCUACUCAUCUGUUCCCAAGCCCACAAACUGCUCAGAGUGUAUACAGGGCAUGAGUUUCCUGGGUCACAGAACAUUACAGUAAUCCUCUGCUGCAAAACUUGGGACCCGCUAGUUCUAUAAACUUGACGUAUAACUCCAGUCAGUUCAUCACUGAGGUCUGCUUUACCAAUAUCUGUUCCUAGGUAAGCCCUAUGAACAAGGGGCCUGUUAUGAGCAAAGUCAGUGGUAUCUUCCAUUUGCAUUGUGCUCAAACUGCCUUCAGUUACUUUUACUUCCCACAAUAGAUCUUGUCUUUUCUGGUCUUCACGCGCUUGCACAUGCUUUUUCCUUUGGCUAGAAACUUUUCUAGGCUGGAAAAGGUGCCUUUCCAUGUCCCUGUUGCACACUGCACGCCCCUUUAUGUGUUUGCCUCCCUCACUUGAACUACCAGCUACGCAAGAGCAGCCAGUGUGUAUGUCUUCAUUGUAGAAUCUCCACACUCAACCUGGCACAUACUGGUUAAAUAAAUUUUAAAAUGUCUUAUGAAUCUUCCUCCACAAUGUUAUAAAAGUUCUUCCUGCCACCUUAUCUCAACUAAGAUUUUGACAACCUUCCUUCUAAUCCAGCAGCUUAAUAUGAGGAUUGGAAACUGGCAACCUUCUUGUUCACCACCACCCUUUUUAUUUUGCUGUCAUUCAGUUACCUCUCUUUAACCUGUCUAAACUUUAAUUUGUUCAUCUAAUAAAAUGGAACUCAUGAUACUACUACCUAAUUCAAGGUUGAUGGUAUGAUGUUCAGUGUUCACAUUGCAGCACGAUGUUCUAUGUGAACAUUGAUAGAGUGUAUACAGAGUUCUCAUCUCAAGGCCAGUCAUUUGUACCUUCUUUUCUUGCCAUUAAGUUUGCUCCUCUUUCACAGUAGCUUUAGCCCCAGGCUCCUUUACCUGUGUAUCCUUUGGAAAUUAUCAUUGGCCGUUUCAAAGGUACUCUUGCUAACUUCUAGACUACUCCUUGACUUUUGGCUUUGCUGUCCUUGCUCAUUCCUAGCUUUUGGUAACUUUCACCAGAAGCUUUACUUUCUUCCACUUUCUAGCUGCUAGGGAAAAUCACAAAGCUGAUUCAGCACAGGCUGUGCCAAUUUUGCUGGGGUGACUAAGAGAAUCUUUCUGAUAGCAUGGCAGUCUUUUGUUCUUUAAAAAAGUGGAUUCUUGACCCAGGAAUUAUCUGCAGAACUUUUGAAACUACUGAUGUCUGGAUCCCACUUUUCAGUCCUAAGGAGGAGAUUUGCAAGGUGUGGGGACUGAACACACCUAUUUUUUAAAAACUUUGGUUGUUCUUUGGGAAACUAGACUUAAGAACCCUAUUUAAUUAAGUUCCUGGCAACAGCUGUUUUAUAUGCUUUCCCUGUCUUCAAGCCCCUUAAAAUUACUCUGUACAAAGCUUAAUUUCCCCUUCAAACUAGAGCAUUCUACUGACUUCCCAAUUUCUUUUAUUGCUCCAUCAUUCUCCCAUACACUAGCUCAGAAUCCUGGUAUUGUUUCUGACUCUUGUCUCUUCCUUACCUCUAGUCAUCCAGGUCAUUUGUCUCCUUUCCUUGCUCCUGCUUGUUUCUCCUUUGUCAACGUAGAGCAUCAUACUACCUCUCCACUUCUGGCCACCAUACGCUGACAACCCACUAUCUCCAGAAUAUUCUCCUGUUACAGCUUUGUUAUUCUCCUGCUUUUAGAAGGCUGUACCAUACUGCAGAAUAAAGUCUGAAAUGCUUAGUUGUAUGCUUGAGGCCCUCAAAAAUGUGGACUCAGUUCAAACUUUUGAUUUUGUUUCCCAUUCCUUUCCUUAAUAUAUGUUAAGCUGUUAAACUAGAUUAGAGGUAAGAUGGUGUAUAGAAAAGAUUCUUUUGAAUCCUAGCAUUGCCAGUUGCCAAGGGUAUGAUCUCAGGCAAGUUACUUUAGCCUCUUUGACCUUGUCUUAUCUGUCUCAUCUGUAAAAUAAGACAUAAAAACGACUAUUUAGAUGGUUUGUCAUAAGUAGUUAACAUAUAUAGUGUGAUUAGUGUCAGGCCUGGCACCUAGAAGGCCUUGAAAUAUAUUUUUUACCUGUUCUCUCCAGUCUUCCUCCAGCUGCCCUCCUAAGAUGUGCACUCUCUUAUAGUCUUCUCUUUCUGUUUCUUUGCUUAUGCCAUUCUCUCAGCCUUUCCUUCCAUUUCCAGCAUUUGAAAUCUUACUCUUUUUUUUUACCCUCUUUAUAAAUCCUUCCCCUGCCCUUGUCCAUUCCAAAUUCCCAUAGUGUUUUGUACGUUUUGUAGCAUUUGUGAAAAAUUUCCUCCUUUGUUGUUAUGUUAGAUAUUUCUUGUUCUCUCUACAAAAUAAAUUGAAAUCUCCUCAAGGACAAGGACCUAGUCAUAAUCAUCUUGGUUUUCUUCAUCUUUACCAGCAUACUGCUUUGUAGCCAGCAGGUUCUCAGUGAAUAUUUAGCAAGCAGGUAAACCAAAGAACCACUACUCCUUGUGCAUAAAUCGAAAAAUAAGCUAACAAGCAGUAUUGCUCCAUUGUAUGCUAGAGAAAUAAAGUAGCAAAUGAAUUCACAUACCUAGAGAAAGGAUUCCUCCCACUGAAUAAAUAGCUAGGAACAGGAUUCCUGGGAGAAAUAGCUAAUUCUGAGUCUAGGCAGGAAAUGUACAGGUUGAGCCUAGAAGAUUUUGUCAUAGUAUAUAUAAAGCAAUGAAGCUAUCUAAGACCGCUAGGGUUCUGUCAGAAAACUCACGAAUUAACAUGAAGUUCUAGUUGAUCAAAGAUGAGACAGUUUGAGGAUCAAUAAAAACAACAGCAGUGGAUUGAAAUAUAUCAACUGUGCUUAAAUCCAUGAACUUAAAUGAUACUAAAAUGAAAACAAAAAGAUUUGAUCACCCUUGGAAGAACCUAGAUAAACCAUCCUGAAAACAUGUAAGUAAAGGGAAAGAAUAAAGCAUUUAUGCUACCUUUCCUGGAGGGAAUUAUUCCUGACAUAAACAAGUAGUUGAGGAGGGAAAGCUUUUUAUUACUGAACUCCAGCUCAUAAAUGAAGACAAUGAUAGAAUAUCAAUACAAAAACAUUUUUUUAGAAUUAAAAUGUAUUUGUCUAUUCAUUUAACUUUUCCUGCCUCUUUUCUGACUUUAAAAAAAGAAAAGGGGGGGCACCUGCUUGGCUCAGUUGGUUAGGUGUCUGCCUUUGGCUCACGUCAUGAUCAUGAUCCCAGAGUCCUGGGAUCGAGCCCCGCAUCGGGCUCCCUGCUCAGCAGGGAGUCUGCUUCUCCCUCUGCCCCUACCCCCUGCUCAUGCUCUUUCUCUCUCUCUCUCAAAUAAAUAAAUAAAAUAUUUAAAAAAAAGAAAAGGUCUUUAAGGAGCGCUUGGGUGGCUCAGUCAGUUAAGCAUCCAACUCUUGAUCUCAGCUCAGGUCUUUGAUCUCAGGGUCCUGAAUUCAAGCCCCACACUGGGUUUCAUGCUGGGUGAGGAGCCUACUUAAAAGAAAAUCGGGGCAGCUGGGUGGAUCAGUCAGUUAAAUGUCUGCCUUUGGCUCAGGUCAUGAUCUCAAGGUCCUGGGAUCAAGCCCUGGGUCGGGCUCCCUGCUCAGUGGAGAGUCUGCUUUUCCCUCUGCCUCUUCCCUUGCUCAUGCUCUCUCUCUCAUAAAUAAAAUCUUUCUAAAAAAUUUUAAAAAUCUUUGAAUCAAAAGCUUUAUGAAACGAAAAAUUCAGGGAUGAAAGUUUGGUAACUCUUUUAUCUUAGAUUGCAGUCAAAAGACAAUUAAGCAAAUAAUUCCCCAGUUUGGAAAUGUUAACACCUCUCAUUUAGGUCUUGGUUUUUUAGAUGUUUCUUGUGCUUUUAUGGUCUUACUCAUUAUACUUCCUAUUACUGCCAGUCAUUUCAAGGGAUCCUUCAAACUACUCAAAUAUAGAGUAGUGUUGACCUUCCGACUCAAUGCAGGAACAGAGAUAGAACCAGACUGCGACAUACCCCAGAAGUUUCAGUCUCCCAGUCCAGGGCCUUAAAUAGCUUUUAAGCUAAUCACAGUGAACAUGGGUCCUUUAAGUAGUGUUUAUAUGAAUAGGCAAUAGAAAAGACUGACUUCAUACCAUGAAGUAAAUAUAUUAACUCAAAAGCAAAAUAAAUAACCUGUAUAAGAUAAUAGAGGGAAAAAAAACAAAAAUGACAGCUUGGGUAGUCUUCAUUUUUAUUUUUAAUAAAGUCUCAUAACUAUAAUUGCAGAUUUUUCUCCACAGAUACCUUGUUUUUUUGAUUCAGACAUACCUGUUCUUAAUGUGUAAACAUUUCUGAAAUUUGCAUGUAGCUUACCAUGCAUGUGUACAGGUUUCCUUGCUGUCAGAAAGUAGAUCAUUCCUAUGAAACCUUUUUUUUUUUUUUAAGUAGGUGCCAUGCCCAGCAUGGAGCCCAACGCAGGGGCUCAAACUCAACGACCGUGAGAUUGAGACCUGAGCUGAAAUCAAAAGUCUGAUGCUCAACCGACUGAGCCACCCAGGUGCCCCCUAUGCAACCUUUUAAAAUUGGUGUAAAGUGAAGAAACAAUUACCAUUAAUUUAUAUGGAAAAUUUUUUUAGAGUUCCCAGACCCAAAAAGUCACCUCUCUUAGGCUUUUCUGAUACCUAAGGACAUAUCUUGCUAAUGGAUACACAAAAUAGAUCAAAAUAAAGCACAGAUGCUCACAAACACAGUUCAAAGCCAUAGCGGCUGGAUGCUGAGAUGCUGAGUGCAAUUUGUUGAGGAGGAAUUUGGCGGGGCCACUCUUAAUGCCUUUGUAACAGCUUGCGGCAAAACACACUGAAUGCUAUUUGCACUUUUCACCUUUUUUCAUAAUAAGCAAAAAUCCUCUUCGGAUUUCUUCUGGUUAGAAAAACAGGUACUAAUGUAGGUCUUUCAUAAAAGUGAAGUGAUGUAAUAUAAAUUUUUAAAAAGCAAAGUGGGGGGCACCUGGGUAGCUCAGUUGGUUAAGCCUCCGACUCUUGAUUUCAGCUUAGGUCAUGAUCUCAGGGUCUUGAGAUCGAGACACAUCUGUGCUAGGUGUGGAGCCUGCUUAAGAUUUUCUCUCUUCCUCUCCCUUUGCCCCUCCCCCUCUCACGCUAUCUCUCUUUAAAAAAAAAAAAAAAAGCGAAGGGUACCUGUAUUUAAUGAGGCAGUGAUCCUACAGCCUUCUUACCCUGCCCAAGAAACUUAUAAAUUGUGUGUUUUACAAUCAAUUUUGUCUUUGAGUCUUGGAAAUAUGGUAAAUAAUGUUUCUGGGUAAAUUUUGAGAGCAAAAUUUGUUUACAGAGUGACUCAGAAUAUUUGAGAGCAGUAUUUUCCAAAGCAUUUUUUUCAUAACACCGUAUGUAUCAUGUAUAUAAUAUGGUACUAUCAGUUCCUGUGUUAGUGUUCUGAAAACGGGACAGAGAUGCUCAGUGGUUAAACAAGUUUGGAAAAUGCAUCUUACUUUUAGAGCCUCAUGAUGGAUAAAAAGUCCAUUAGGCUCUGAGAAAGACUGGUUUAAAAAAUCAAAACUCUUUCAAAAAUCUCUUUGAACCAAGUAUUUUCCAAACUUUUCUGACCCCCAAAUCCUUUUUUUGUUAACACUUGCUAGCACUCCAUUUUGGAAAAUACUGCAAAGUAUUAGAACAAAACCUUUUUAUCAGGUCAUUUUAAAUACUUGCCCAUUGCAAAUUAAAAAGACAGCUAAUAAUUCUCUGCAUCUGUGUAUCUAGUUGUCACAAGAACCUUUUCAAAGGCAGGGCUGGCUAGACUAGAUUGUCAGCUUAAAGCUGUGGUCUUUAACUGCCUUCAGUAGUACAGCAACCUGUGCUUCCCAGUCAGUAUUAGCCCUUGAUUCAUUUCACAGAUUUGUACAUCAGUCCAGUUGCUGGACUUUGGAGUCAUAUAUCUGAGCAAUGGAAAUCCUGGUGUAAUAUAUCACAGCUUGUCCAUUCUGGCACUGCAGUUUUAUUCUGUAACUCACUGCACCUACUUUUUUAGACUUUAUUAUCAAUUUAAAUAUAUUGGUCAAGUGUCAGAACUGCUGGAUCUUCUUGUACUGUUCUCCUGUAUUUAUUAUAGCAUAUUUAUAGUAAAUCUCUGGGGGAGUCAUAGAGCUGGGAUAAAUCUGCCCCUUCCCUGUGUUCUACUGGGGAAAGGAGGGAGUUAGGUAGUUCUUACAAGUGUAGGUGAACCCUACUGUCCUCAAAGUAAAAGACGUCUUCACCGGGCGCCUGGGUGGCUCAGUCGUUGAGCGUCUGCCUUCGGCUCAGGUCAUGAUCCCAGGGUCCCGGGAUCGAGUCCUACAUCGGGCUCCCUGCUCUGCGGGAGGCCUGCUUCUCCCUCUCCCACUACCCCUGCUUGUGUUCCCUCUCUCACUGUCUCUCUCUCUGUUGAAAAAUAAAUAAAAUCUUUAAAAAAAAAAAAA